Cryptotermes secundus is the source of this 1599-nucleotide long non-coding RNA. RefSeq lists it as uncharacterized. The transcript is spliced from 7 exons. NCBI's taxonomy places the organism in Eukaryota, Metazoa, Arthropoda, Insecta, Blattodea, Kalotermitidae. The record is from RefSeq and is a predicted model, not a curated record.
GGGUAGGGGGGGAAGAGGGGGAACUGAUUUCUUGUGUUCAUGAAUCUCUGCUGGAACAUCUGGCUAACCUGACCUAGGUUUUUACAUGGUUUUUCACAGUACCUUAAGGCAAAUGUUGAUUGGACUUAGUAUCCCUAAUUGGGUGACAAGCACCAAGACGUUUGAAUACAAUAUUUACAAAUCAUCAGCCAUUUAAUACUAUAUAGUUUCCGCUAUGAAGUGUUUUGUGAAAUCAUGAAAGGAAAUGUGGUGUAGGAGCAGUUCUGAAUGUUAUUAAUAAUCGGACACAACUUUCAGCGCCAGAAGAGAUACUGUCCAACAUCAAGAUUGAGCCCAAUGACAGCAACCUGGAGCUUCAGAUAGCCCUCAAGAAAGCAUGGAGACUGAAGCUGCAGGAGGCUGUUACAGAAUCAAAGAACUGUAGAAAAGGUGGCAGAGUCAUUACUGGGGAGAAACACGGAAGGUGGUUCCUUUGUGCUGAAUGCUACCGCAGAAUUCUGCCGUACGUUGGGUGACAUCCCCAUUUAUGGUCUGGCUGGCAACAGGGAUGAGGAUGCUCAGGAACUACUUGACUUGGGGAGGGAAAUGAUUGAAGAGAAGAAACGUCAGGAAGAAGAAGGCAAAUGUGGAGCUUGGAAUGAAGUUGAGAUUGAGAUGAUGAAAAGUUUGGGCGUUGCGAGCGCUACAGUGGUCUGACCUCAGACUUCGAAGAGGAGGAGGCUAGAAACCAAAUGUUAAACUCGACUACAUAGAUGAUGAUGGACACGUACUUAAUGCAAAGGAGGCUUUCAGAUACCUGUCUCAUGAAUUUCAUGGAAAGGGACCUGGCAAAAUAAAGUGGAGAAACGAAUGAAGAAAACUGAACAGGAAGGAUUGAUGAAACAGAUGAGCUCAACAGACACCCACUCGGAAUGCUUAGUCUCUUACAGCAGAAGCAGAAAGAAAUGCAGUCUCCAUUCAUGGUCCUUAGUGGCGGUAAACAAACAUGAGGCAACCAUCUGAAAAACAAAACUGCAAAUUCUUCAUGAAAUAUGCUGGCACCACCUCUGAACUUUGGCGUGUUUUUAUUGUUUCUUACUGUCUGGAAUAUCAUCUCUCUUUUUAAAUAAGACACAGCUUGCAGCUGCCAACAGUGCCUAUGUGUACUGGAAGGAAGGCCACAGAGUUCAUGUCACAUUCAAAUGAGUACAGUGGUUCUCCUGCUUCCUUAGGUAACCUGUUGGCACCUGUAAGCUGGAAAGUACAAUUUCUAGUGAUUAGUUGCUUGUUUAAAGGACUUUAGCCAGAUGAACAGCCUCUAAGCUCAAUCAGACAUGAAGUAAUUAUAUUUGUAAUUUUCAGUGAAUGCAUCCUAUUGUGUAUCAUAUAUUAUUUCUUACUGAAAACCAUCACAACACAACAAUCAAUAAUACUUGUAAGUACCUCUACGAGGUACUUUUGCUACAUGUUUCGGCCUUCAGAAGGCCAUCAUUAGGCAAAUACGUUAAGCUUUUCAUUAUUGAAUUGCAAUAUCAGUUAAGAUGGGCGGUAGGAUUACUUACUGGACACUCCCACCUCAGAGGACACCUUUCCAAACUGGGACUGACAGACGACCUAACU